GUCUCAGGCCGUAUCAGCCUGAAGGCGCCCGAUCUCGUCUGAUCUCGGAAGCUAAGCAAGGGUCGGGCCUGGUUAGGAUCUUGGAUGGGAGACCAACCUGGGAAUCCCGGGUGCUCGAGGCU
This 122-nucleotide ribosomal RNA is filed under the name Bison bison bison. The record is from RNAcentral. Lineage: Eukaryota; Metazoa; Chordata; Mammalia; Artiodactyla; Bovidae.